This 426-nucleotide ribosomal RNA is filed under the name uncultured bacterium. RNAcentral describes it as "bacterial SSU rRNA". It matches the Rfam family "Bacterial small subunit ribosomal RNA", at positions 354 to 796 of the family's 1533-position model. The record is from RNAcentral.
GUAGGGAAUUUUCCACAAUGGGCGCAAGCCUGAUGGAGCAACGCCGCGUGCAGGAUGAAGGCUUUCGGGUCGUAAACUGCUUUUAUUUGUGACGAUUAUGACAGUAGCAAAUGAAUAAGGGUCGGCUAACUACGUGCCAGCAGCCGCGGUCAUACGUAGGACCCGAGCGUUAUCCGGAAUUACUGGGCGUAAAGAGUUGCGUAGGUGGUUUGUUAAGUGAAUAGUGAAAUCGUGCGGCUCAACCGUAUACACAUUAUUUAAACUGGCAGACUUGAGUAUGGUAGAGGUCACUGGAAUUCCAAGUGUAGGAGUGAAAUCCGUAGAUAUUUGGAGGAACACCGAUGGCGUAGGCAGGUGACUGGACCAUAACUGACACUGAGGCACGAAAGCGUGGGGAGCAAACGGGAUUAGAAACCCGAGUAGUCC